CAAAUACUCCCUCCGUCCGGAAUUACUUGUCACAGAAAUGGAUAAAAGUAGAUGUAUAUAGAACUAAAAUACUCUAAAUACAUCCAUUUCUCUGACAAGUAUUUCCGGACAGAGGGAGUACAUU
Molecule: non-coding RNA, 124 nt
Organism: Triticum aestivum (bread wheat)
Lineage: Eukaryota; Viridiplantae; Streptophyta; Magnoliopsida; Poales; Poaceae
Source: Rfam